GCAUGUGGUUUAAUUCGAUGCAACGCGAAGAACCUUACCUGGUCUUGACAUAUUAGAAUCCUGCAGAGAUGCGGGAGUGCCUUCGGAUUAUACAGGUGCUGCAUGGCUGUCGUCAGCUCGUGUCGUGAGAUGUUGGGUUAAGUCCCGCAACGAGCGCAACCCUUGUCCUUAGUUACCAGCGGGUUACCGGGAACUCUAAGGAUACUGCCAGUGACAAACUGGAGGAAGGCGGGGACGACGUCAAGUCAUCAUGGCCCUUACGACCAGGGCUACACACGUGCUACAAUGGUAGGUACAGAGGGCAAAUCUUUCAAAGCCUAUCGUAGUCCAGAUUGGAGUCUGCAACUCGACUCCAUGAAGUAGGAAUCGCUAGUAAUCGCGGAUCAGAAUGCCGCGGUGAAUACGUUCCCGGGCCUUGUACACACCGCCCGUCACACCAUGGGAGUUGAUUGCACCAGAAGUGGUUAGCCUAACG
RNAcentral lists this ribosomal RNA (475 nucleotides) under Psychrobacter pacificensis. Its description in RNAcentral is "bacterial SSU rRNA". It matches the Rfam family "Bacterial small subunit ribosomal RNA", at positions 937 to 1440 of the family's 1533-position model. The record is from RNAcentral. Lineage: Bacteria; Pseudomonadati; Pseudomonadota; Gammaproteobacteria; Moraxellales; Moraxellaceae.